GACGGGGCACAGAACUGAAGUUUUCAUUGGUUAAAAAUCUUCCAUUACACAAGUUAGCAAGCUGGACAAUUUGGAUAAAGAAACUGCAGCUUUGCUUCCAAGAGAUCUCCUGGAGGGAUGCCAUCAGUCAGUAGACAGAAAUCAUAGAAACAGAGAAUAUCCUGAGUUGGAGGGGGCCCAUGAGGAUCAUCAAGUCCAACUCCUGACUCCACAAACGACCGUCCAAAAAUCAGACCACAUGCCUGAUGGGAUGAAGACAGUCAUUGGCAGACACCUGCUCUUUGCCACUGCUGGAAGGAAGAGACAUGGAUCAAUGGACUUUUAAUUUGACUCGCUACAGCAGUUCUUAAUUUCAUUUGUAUUAUUCAAAUACAUAAGGCCCAAAUUCUGAACAGAGCCCAGACUUUACAGCCAGUCACAAAUGUUGAUCCAUUUGACCCAAUUGAAAUAUACUGUUCUUCAAACCUUCAGAUCAAAUCAUGGCUUGUUCCCUGUGCUCAUGAAUGCGGCACCUUCCUAGCAAAACCCUGGUGUUAGAUCCAGAACAGAACAUUGAUCUUGCCCAGAGCCAUCUGAGGUCAAACUGAACCUUUACGUAAUCAGGAAAUUUUGGAUCCAUCUCUGAGAUUUGAACAGCACUGAAGGUGCUCUUCUACCAGCAAAGCUACUCUGUGAGGCAGAAAAAAAACUGUUAUAAAAUUGAAAUUGUAGUCUGAGAACAAACUCUUUUAUUCCUCUGGAUAACAAGUACUUCGAAGUUUAUAAUCUGGCAGUAGUUCAUCUGGCAUGCAGUAUGUUUGGCAGAAGCUUAGAUAUGCCCAUUAGACCUAAAAAAAGCCCUUAUCCAUGUCAUUUUGCUAGCAUGAAAAGGAAUGGUCAUAAAAGUAAGAAUUUGUAACUUUGUUGAGUCUUAGAUGUGGA
Gallus gallus (chicken) is the source of this 921-nucleotide long non-coding RNA. Lineage: Eukaryota; Metazoa; Chordata; Aves; Galliformes; Phasianidae. The record is from Ensembl.